Rhea pennata is the source of this 544-nucleotide long non-coding RNA. RefSeq lists it as uncharacterized. The transcript has 5 exons. NCBI's taxonomy places the organism in Eukaryota, Metazoa, Chordata, Aves, Rheiformes, Rheidae. The record is from RefSeq and is a predicted model, not a curated record.
AGUGAUGCUUGCAUGACAAGCGAAGAAUGUAUUGACACCAUUGAGAGGAAGAUCCUACAAAAACCCUGAGCCAGAUGAAAGAUCUGCUUAUACUGACAGUGGCCAGGAUGGAAGGAAGGAGAGAGCCACGUUAAGUCCUCCAGGUUGUGGCAAACUUUCCAGGAGAAGAUGAAGGCAAAAGGACCAAGGCAUGCCAACCACAGACUCAUACCUCAAUACCUCUUUUGCGAAGAAUCCUGUUGGUCUCUUCUAACUCGUGCCUGUGACCAUGUCACCUCAGACAUCACUUCUGAGGCACCUGCUAGCAGUCUAAGGAGAGGACAAGAACACCUUCUCUACCAUAAAGAACAUCUUUCAGGGACACCGUUGAGAAGCUUGCAGUUCUUCAACUCCCUCCCAGAGGUCACAGCCUGAAAAACACUGGACUAAGAACAUACUUUGGUAAUAUUUCAGACAGUUCAAAGGCAAAGGCUGAAAAUGUACCAAGGAAGCCUGGCUUACAAUUAAAAACAAAAACUUCAACCUAUUUUCUUUAGAAAUAAAC